Molecule: ribosomal RNA, 459 nt
Filed under: uncultured bacterium
Lineage: Bacteria
Description: partial 16S ribosomal RNA
Rfam family: Bacterial small subunit ribosomal RNA
Source: RNAcentral
CCUACGGGUGGCAGCAGUGAGGAAUAUUGGUCAAUGGCCGGAAGGCUGAACCAGCCAAGUCGCGUGAGGGACGACUGCCCUAUGGGUUGUAAACCUCUUUUAUAAGGGAAGAAUAAAUGCUACGUGUAGCAUGAUGCCUGUACCUUAUGAAUAAGCAUCGGCUAACUCCGUGCCAGCAGCCGCGGUAAUCCGGAGGAUGCGAGCGUUAUCCGGAUUUAUUGGGUUUAAAGGGUGCGUAGGCGGUUUUUUAAGUUAGUGGUUAAACGUCGGGGCUUCACCUUGAUUUGCCAUUAAUACUGCCUUGCUGGAAUGCGGAUGCCGUGGGAGGAAUGUGUGGUGUAGCGGUGAAAUGCAUAGAUAUCACACAGAACACCGAUUGCGAAGGCAUCUCACGAAUCCGCGAUUGACGCUGAUGCACGAAAGCGUGGGUAUCAAACAGGAUUAGAUACCCUGGUAGUC